GGUGUUGGUUGCAUAUAAGUCCUUUUCCAUGAUCAGUUGAUGGUUAAAUUUGAGCAUUAAGGACCGUCAACAAGCUCCCCCAAGCUUAACCUUUGCUCGUCCCUGAGUAAAGAUGGACUUAAGAGUUUCUGCAGUGGUUUCAUGCCUUAAAGGUACACAUGCGUUCAAACAAGAUCUCAUCUCUGGGUUAGGGUAAACUGUUAAGAUUUAAACUUACUCAUUUUACCUUCCACCAUGGGGCUUGCAACCAUCAUUUGUGUCUUGAGCAGUUAAAAGACAUAACGGUCUAGUCAAGCGCCAUGUCUCUUGCUCUUCGAUUAACUAUAGCACUGGAGUUUUUUAGAUUUUCAAAUAAAACUCAGAGAUUCCUUGUAUGACUCUCUCUAGUCUCUCUUUUGUGGUAUUUCUGGAUGCUUACCAAGGCAGUGAUGGUAUAUGCCUUCUCUCAAAAUAUGUAGUAUUUGUGGUAUGAAGCAUAGUGACAUUGACUUCUCUCUCAUCCUACUCUAAUAAGGCUUUUGAUAUCUGGAGCUCAUAGGUAGGAGACAGCUAAUACAUACUUACAAGACAUUUAUUGCAUAGUCAAACCAUGGAUCUAGAAGAACAAGUCAAUAAGUCAAAUCAAGAUGUGCAUGUGUGGCGAAUAAAUGGUGUAUGGUGAUGAUGGUGAUAAUAAUGGUGAAAGUCUAAUUCUACUUGUGCUCUUUUGAGGGGAUACAUACCUUUCUUGCUCUUUUGAAACUUUGUGAGGAGAAUAAGACGCUCGGUAAUUUCUUUUUAUUUUCUCUCAGAUGGGUAUCUUGUACCCCUAAUUCUACUGUCGGACACUUGUCCAUUUUUACCUCUCGUCUCACUAUUUUCUUUUCUUUCGAGGUUCCAGGCACUUGCCCCUUUUUAUUUCCUCGUAUCUUUUUUUCUCUCUUUUUUUAGAGCACUCAUCUCUUGAACUAAUGUAGCAAGUGGUAGUAACCAAGAUAACUUGAGCAUUUAUUUCACAUGGGAAAACAGAAAUGUUUUUGACUAUUCUCUCCCGGAUUAGGAGUAGAAUAUUUUUGGGUAGUUCUGGAGAUGGAAAUGGGUGAAUAUAUGUGGAUGCGUACUUCCGGAGUAGAAGCAGUAUAUGUGAGUCAACGUACAAGUGAAUCUUGAUUUUAACCACAUGACAAGCUCCUAAGGGUCUACACAGCUUGACCACACUCAAUGCUCAUAAGCAGUAAAAAGUAAAUGUAUGGUUCAUAGUCUAAUAAGCAUGUAUAUAUGGCUGUGGUAGGAUUUUAAACUCUCAUCAUGCAACAUUUUGAAGAUUUUCAAAGAUAAAAUUCUCUAGAAUUCUAGCAUCUCUAGGAACAGAUAAACAGUAGCUCAACCUUUCCAUAUCGUAUCUGUUAACAACUUAGACUUUAGAUCAAGUACUCUUCCCACAAGUUCAGGUUUAGAGCAAAUCUUAAUUAAUAACAGUCAUGCCUAAACUUGAUAGAGAUUUCAAUUUUGAGAACUAGCCAUGGCAGAACAACUAUUCAUCAUUUCCAUAUGACAGCUUAUCAUGAGGGUUCAUAGCAAAUUUUAUUUAUUUAUUUAGUUAGCAAACUAAGCAAAGAUAUAUAUAUAAGCACAAAACUUUGUGAUUAUGCAUCUUUUUAUUAUUUGAAUAAAGUAUAAACAUGAGUAGAAACACUUAGCUGGAUAAAUGGGGAUGCUCUCCCCCAAGCUGGAUUUUGACGCAAUUUCUUCUGAUGUAGCUAGCAAGUGGUGGAGGUGUAUUUGAAUGUCAGCAGUACCCUGACAGCGAUUAGGAUGUCCUCCGUCUGCUAGUCUUCUUUGAUCCUUGAAUUUUGUGGAGCUCAAAUAGACAACAAAGCUUUGUGGAACUGGUUAAGUGUUAGCAUAAAUAUCUAGCCUUUAUCAUGUUGAGCCUCCUCAAUAAAUGUUACUCUCUUUAGUAGGAUCAUAAAUUUAUUUUUAUAUUUUCAUUUUUAUAGGACAGGAAUAUAUAUAUUUUAUUUUUAUGCUACCACAGUGAAUGUACUUAUGGGUUUUAUGCCAUGAGCAUACUCACAUGGGGCUUACUAUUUUUAACAUUUUUAUUUUCCUUUCAAGAUGAUAUGAACCUGAUUAACUAAGAAAACUAUUUUAAAUAGUUGAAAGGAAAAAGGAUAACUACCAAGUUUACCUCUUGGCAAAGCGUUUGGUGUUUUUAAGUCCUCCGAACGGGACUCUCCAUUUUCU
This 2226-nucleotide long non-coding RNA is filed under the name Sorghum bicolor (sorghum). Its description in RNAcentral is "long non-coding RNA (SBIC_LNC012928)". The record is from RNAcentral. Lineage: Eukaryota; Viridiplantae; Streptophyta; Magnoliopsida; Poales; Poaceae.